This 71-nucleotide transfer RNA is filed under the name Liparis tanakae (Tanaka's snailfish). RNAcentral describes it as "tRNA-Trp". It matches the Rfam family "tRNA". From Rfam's summary of the family: Transfer RNA (tRNA) molecules are approximately 80 nucleotides in length. Their secondary structure includes four short double-helical elements and three loops (D, anti-codon, and T loops). Lineage: Eukaryota; Metazoa; Chordata; Actinopteri; Perciformes; Liparidae. RNAcentral also lists the same sequence under 1 other name. The record is from RNAcentral.
AGAGACUUAGGCUAGUACAAGACCAAGGGCCUUCAAAGCCCUAAGCGAAGGUGAAAAUCCCUCAGUCCCUG